CCUUAGAGUUUGAUCCUGGCUCAGGAUGAACGCUGGCGGCGUGCCUAAUACAUGCAAGUCGAACGAAUCUCUUUUAGAGAUGAGUGGCGAACGGGUGAGUAAUACAUAGGUAACCUGCCCCUGUGCGGGGGAUAACAGGAGGAAACUCCUGCUAAUACCGCAUAGCCAUGAGCACCGCAUGGAGCUCAUGCCAAAUAUCCUUUAUGGGAUAGCGCAGGGAUGGACCUAUGGCGCAUUAGCUGGUUGGCGGGGCAACGGCCCACCAAGGCAACGAUGCGUAGCCGGCCUGAGAGGGCGGACGGCCACAUUGGGACUGAGACACGGCCCAGACUCCUACGGGAGGCAGCAGUAGGGAAUUUUCGGCAAUGGGGGAAACCCUGACCGAGCAACGCCGCGUGAGCGAAGAAGGCCUUCGGGUCGUAAAGCUCUGUUGUAAAGGAAGAACGGCGCAUACAGGAAAUGGUAUGCGAGUGACGGUACUUUACCAGAAAGCCACGGCUAACUACGUGCCAGCAGCCGCGGUAAUACGUAGGUGGCGAGCGUUAUCCGGAAUCAUUGGGCGUAAAGAGGGAGCAGGCGGCCGCAAGGGUCUGUGGUGAAAGACCGAAGCUAAACUUCGGUAAGCCAUGGAAACCGGGCGGCUAGAGUGCGGAAGAGGAUCGUGGAAUUCCAUGUGUAGCGGUGAAAUGCGUAGAUAUAUGGAGGAACACCAGUGGCGAAGGCGACGGUCUGGGCCGCAACUGACGCUCAUUCCCGAAAGCGUGGGGAGCAAAUAGGAUUAGAUACCCUAGUAGUCCACGCCGUAAACGAUGGUCACUAAGUGUCGGGGGUCAAACCCCGGUGCUGCAGUCAACGCAAUAAGUGACCCGCCUGAGUAGUACGUUCGCAAGA
This 891-nucleotide ribosomal RNA is filed under the name uncultured bacterium. Its description in RNAcentral is "bacterial SSU rRNA". It matches the Rfam family "Bacterial small subunit ribosomal RNA", at positions 1 to 893 of the family's 1533-position model. The record is from RNAcentral.